This 484-nucleotide ribosomal RNA is filed under the name uncultured bacterium. Its description in RNAcentral is "partial 16S ribosomal RNA". It matches the Rfam family "Bacterial small subunit ribosomal RNA", at positions 29 to 507 of the family's 1533-position model. The record is from RNAcentral.
AUUGAACGCUGGCGGCAGGCCUAACACAUGCAAGUCGAGCGGAAGCAGGGCGCAAGCUCCUGACUUCUGGGGAGGGCGGGAGUGUAAUGCCUAGGCGUGUGCCUGGGUGGGGGGGAUAAAGUCGGGAAAGGAGCGAUAAUCGCGUACGAGUUAUGAGGGAGAGCGGGGGGGCGCAUGGGCUCUCACGAUUUCAGAUGAGGCUAGGACGGAUUGGCUAGUUGGGGGGGUAAAGGCACACCAAGGCGACGAUCCGUAACUGGUCUGAGAGGAUGAACAGCCACACUGGAACUGAGACACGGCCCAGACUCCUACGGGAGGCAGCAGUGGGGAAUAUUGGACAAUGGGCGAAAGCCUGAUCCAGCAAUGCCGCGUGUGUGAAGAAGGUCUUCGGAUUGUAAAGCACUUUUAUUUGGGAGGAAACGCAGUUAGUUAAUACCUGGCUGUAUUGACGGUACCAACAGAAUAAGCACCGGCUAACUACGUG